Molecule: ribosomal RNA, 395 nt
Filed under: uncultured bacterium
Lineage: Bacteria
Description: bacterial SSU rRNA
Rfam family: Bacterial small subunit ribosomal RNA
Source: RNAcentral
GACGAACGCUGGCGGCGUGCUUAACACAUGCAAGUCGAGCGGUAAGGCCCUUUCGGGGGUACACGAGCGGCGAACGGGUGAGUAACACGUGGGUGACCUGCCCUCAGCUCUGGGAUAAGCCCGGGAAACUGGGUCUAAUACUGGAUAUGACUCCAUGACGCAUGUUGUGGGGUGGAAAGCCUUGUGCGGCUGAGGAUGGGCCCGCGGCCUAUCAGCUUGUUGGUGGGGGAUGGCCUACCAAGGCGACGACGGGUAGCCGGCCUGAGAGGGCGACCGGCCACACUGGGACUGAGACACGGCCCAGACUCCUACGGGAGGCAGCAGUGGGGAAUCUUGCGCAAUGGGCGAAAGCCUGACGCAGCGACGCCGCGUGAGGGAUGACGGCCUGGUGUAAC